AUUUUWCUGUAAAUAAAAUMUGCUCAMUGAKUWCUAAUUAWAUAGCCGCAMUACUGUGCUAAGGKAGCAUAAUCAUUUGCUUUUUAAWUAAAAGCKAGARWGARAGAUUUAACAUUUGAAUUUCUUUAUUAAAAUUUAAUAUUUAAUUUAUACUAAAUAUAAAAAUAUAUUUUUUAAAAAAAAAGACGACAAGACCCUAUUAAACUUAAACUUAAAGUUUGACUGGGGCAGUCUAUUAAUAAAAAUUUUAAUAUAUAUAUAUAUAUAUAUAAUAUAUAAAUAAAUUUCUAGUAAAAUUAAUUUAAACAAGUUACUAUAGGGAUAACAGCGUUAUAUUUUUUAAAAGUUCAUAUUUAAAAUAAUGAUUGCGACCUCGAUGUUGAAUUAUAUUUCUAUAAWAACGCAMCCG
RNAcentral lists this ribosomal RNA (409 nucleotides) under Anelosimus sp. GSP0011. Its description in RNAcentral is "partial 16S ribosomal RNA". The record is from RNAcentral. Lineage: Eukaryota; Metazoa; Arthropoda; Arachnida; Araneae; Theridiidae.